GAAGUAAAAGUCGUAACAAGGUUUCCGUAGGUGAACCUGCGGAAGGAUCAUUAUCGUACAAUGGAGGUGCUGGGGCUGUCGCUGACCUUUAAAAAGGGUCGUGCACGCCCGGAGCACUCUCUCAUAUCCAUCUCACCCCUUUGUGCAUUGCCGCGUGGGUCCCCUGAAACAAAGGGGGACCUGCGUUUUUACAUAGACACCCUUUGAAUGCAUGUGUAGAAYGUCUUACGAUAUCAAUACAACUUUCAACAACGGAUCUCUUGGCUCUCGCAUCGAUGAAGAACGCAGCGAAAUGCGAUACGUAAUGUGAAUUGCAGAAUUCAGUGAAUCAUCGAAUCUUUGAACGCACCUUGCGCCCCUUGGUAUUCCGAGGGGCACACCCGUUUGAGUGUCGUGAAUACUCUCAACCUUCUUGGUUUCUUUGACCAAAAAGGCUUGGACUUUGGAGGUUUUUCUUGCUGGCCUCUUUUGAAGCCAGCUCCUCCUAAAUGAAUGGGUGGGGUCCGCUUUGCUGAUCCUCGACGUGAUAAGCAUUUCUUCUACGUCGUGUCAGCUCGGAACCCGCUUUCCAACUGUCUUUGGAGACAAAGACCUUUUACAAACCUUGACCUCAAAUCGGGUGAGACUACCCGCUGAACUUAAGCAUANNNNNNAGCGGAGGAAAAGAAACUAACAAGGAUUCCCYYAGUAACUGCGAGUGAAGCGGGAAAAGCUCAAAUUUAAAAUCUGGUGGUCUUUGGCCAUCCGAGUUGUAAUUUAGAGAAGCGUCUUCCGCGCUGGGCCGUGCACAAGUCUCCUGGAAUGGAGCGUCAUAGAGGGUGAGAAUCCCGUCUUUGGCACGGACCCCCAGGGCUUCUGUGAUGCGCUCUCGACGAGUCGAGUUGUUUGGGAAUGCAGCUCAAAAUGGGUGGUGAACUCCAUCUAAAGCUAAAUAUUGGCGAGAGACCGAUAGCGAACAAGUACCGUGAGGGAAAGAUGAAAAGCACUUUGGAAAGAGAGUGAAACAGUACGUGAAAUUGUUGAAAGGGAAACGCUUGAAGUCAGUCGCGUCGACCGAGACUCAGCCUUGCCUCGGCUUGGUGUACUUCUCGGCUUGACGGGUCAGCAUCAAUUUUGAUCCUUGGAUAAUGGCAAGGGAAAGGUAGCACCUUUUUAGGUGUGUUAUAGUCCUCUGUCGCAUGCAAGGGUCAGGAUUGAGGAACUCAGCAUGCACCUUUGGGUGUCGGGGCCUUGGCCCACGUUACGUGCUUAGGAUGCUGGCAUAAUGGCUUUAAACGACCCGUCUUGAAACACGGACCAAGGAGUCUAACAUACCYGCGAGUGUUCGGGUGGAAAACCCGUGCGCGUAAUGAAAGUAAAAGUUGGGACCUCUGUCGUGGAGGGCACCGACGCCCGGACCAGACCUUCUGUGACGGCUCUGCGGUAGAGCGUGUAUGUUGGGACCCGAAAGAUGGUGAACUAUGCCUGAAUAGGGUGAAGCCAGAGGAAACUCUGGUGGAGGCUCGUAGCGAUUCUGACGUGCAAAUCGAUCGUCAAAUUUGGGUAUAGGGGCGAAAGACUAAUCGAACCAUCUAGUAGCUGUCC
Molecule: ribosomal RNA, 1584 nt
Filed under: Russula heterophylla
Lineage: Eukaryota; Fungi; Basidiomycota; Agaricomycetes; Russulales; Russulaceae
Description: eukaryotic LSU rRNA
Rfam family: Eukaryotic large subunit ribosomal RNA (bases 606-1584)
Source: RNAcentral